AUUGAACGCUGGCGGCAUGCUUUACACAUGCAAGUCGAACGGUAACAGGUUAAGCUGACGAGUGGCGAACGGGUGUGUAAUGCAUCGGAACGUGCCCGAUCGUGGGGGAUAACGCAGCGAAAGCUGCGCUAAUACCGCAUACGAUCUGAGGAUGAAAGCGGGGGACCGUAAGGCCUCGCGCGAUCGGAGCGGCCGAUGUCAGAUUAGGUAGUUGGUGGGGUAAAGGCCCACCAAGCCGACGAUCUGUAGCUGGUCUGAGAGGACGACCAGCCACACUGGGACUGAGACACGGCCCAGACUCCUACGGGAGGCAGCAGUGGGGAAUUUUGGACAAUGGGCGAAAGCCUGAUCCAGCAAUGCCGCGUGCAGGAAGAAGGCCUUCGGGUUGUAAACUGCUUUUGUACGGAGCGAAAAGGUCCUUUCUAAUACAGGGGGCUCAUGACGGUACCGUAAGAAUAAGCACCGGCUAACUACGUGCCAGCAGCCGCGGUAA
This 493-nucleotide ribosomal RNA is filed under the name uncultured bacterium. RNAcentral's name for it is "partial 16S ribosomal RNA". It matches the Rfam family "Bacterial small subunit ribosomal RNA", at positions 30 to 523 of the family's 1533-position model. The record is from RNAcentral.